CGUACACUCCUGCGGGAGGCAGCAGUGGGGAAUAUUAGACAAUGGGCGCAAGCCUGAUCCAGCCAUGCCGCGUGAGUGAUGAAGGCCCUAGGGUUGUAAAGCUCUUUCACCGGUGAAGAUAAUGACGGUAACCGGAGAAGAAGCCCCGGCUAACUUCGUGCCAGCAGCCGCGGUAAUACGAAGGGGGCUAGCGUUGUUCGGAUUUACUGGGCGUAAAGCGCACGUAGGCGGACUAUUAAGUCAGGGGUGAAAUCCCGGGGCUCAACCCCGGAACUGCCUUUGAUACUGGUAGUCUUGAGUUCGAGAGAGGUGAGUGGAAUUCCGAGUGUAGAGGUGAAAUUCGUAGAUAUUCGGAGGAACACCAGUGGCGAAGGCGGCUCACUGGCUCGAUACUGACGCUGAGGUGCGAAAGCGUGGGGAGCAAACAGGAUUAGAAACCCUGGUAGUCCCAUGAU
RNAcentral lists this ribosomal RNA (455 nucleotides) under uncultured organism. RNAcentral describes it as "partial 16S ribosomal RNA". It matches the Rfam family "Bacterial small subunit ribosomal RNA", at positions 330 to 801 of the family's 1533-position model. The record is from RNAcentral.